UCCGGCUUAACGCCGGCGGUCUCCUUAGAGUGCCCAACUGAAUGAUGGCAACUAAGGACAAGGGUUGCGCUCGUUAAGGGACUUAACCCGACAUCUCACGAUACGAGCUGACGACAGCCAUGCAGCACCUAAACCACAGGUCCCCGAAGGGAAGACCUCAUCUCUGAGGCUGUCCUGUGUUGUCUAACCCAGGUAAGGUUCUUCGCGUUGCAUCGAAUUAAACCACAUGCUCCACCGCUUGUGCGGGCCCCCGUCAAUUCCUUUGAGUUUUAACCUUGCGGCCGUACUUCCCAGGCGGGGAACUUAAUGCGUUAGCUGCGGCACUGCAGGGGUCAAUUCCCGCAACACCUAGUUCCCAUCGUUUACGGCGUGGACUAC
This 378-nucleotide unclassified non-coding RNA is filed under the name uncultured delta proteobacterium. RNAcentral's name for it is "contains 16S-23S intergenic spacer region". The record is from RNAcentral. Lineage: Bacteria; Deltaproteobacteria.